GUCCCUUAUCUUGUGCUUACAAUUUUGCCAGAGAAAAGAGAAAUUAAACAAAAAAAAUUAAUUUCACGUAUUAAAAUCUGUAAAGUCGGAACCUCCGUUUUCUUGAACAUCCUACUGACUGUUUCCAAAGACUUGGGGCUAUCAAACAUUUUCAGUGACAUAAAAACCUAUCCAAAAUAAAGAAGUAAAUUACCCUUAAACAAUUAGAGUAUUGUAAAAAAAAAGGCUCAACAUUUUCUGUUGAAAGCUCUGCUGUCUAGUCUGUGAUGUCAACUUCAAUGUAUAGAUACUUCAAUUUAAUCGAAUUGUCCAUGUUUUGUAAAGCCUAUGAAGUAUUUUUAUCAUAAACGUCCUUAUGAUUUACCAAUUGGGAGGCCAAACAUAACCCAACCAGUCCUUAUCCGUUCUAUUUAUCACAGGCGACCAUAUCUCAUCCUUGUCUUCAUACUCAACAGGUGGGAAAUCCCAACACAUUCGUACACCAAUUACUCUUUUUCCAUAAAACUCUCUCCUUUUCUCAUCCAGAUUGGGAGUAUUCGUCUUAUAAGUAGGAGUCAUAAUGCAAGGAGCGCGUUGACUUUCUUCAAAUAAUUUGGGAUAUAACAAUACACCGGCUUCAUAGGACCGAAUCCUGAGUCCUCUUGUUGAUCUUGAUUUUGCCUUGUGACCUUCUAAAGUUCCCCAAGCGGGUUUACUCAAAUUAGCACUAGUAACAAGCACCCAACGUAGUAGUUCUCCAUCAUUCGAAAAUCGCAUGUACGUUUUAAUAUGUGGUGCAACUCUUUGUCUACCAGCUUUCAUGGCCACCCAUUUGCAUAAAUUCUUACCUUUUUUUAAAGUUUCCACUUGGCUUGCAGCUGUUUUCCCCAAGAUGUUGAAAUGAAUAGAGGAACCAGAUUGCCAACCUAACAUAGAUUGCUGAACUUCUUUCACUGUUGGAAAUAAAAAUUUCCAAUUCCCUCGUUGGCAACCAAAACCAUCCGUUAAUUCGGCAAUGUACUCCUGUUUGGGUCCAAAUGAACCCAUGGAACUACACUGAGAAAUACAAAUGUCAGACUCUUCGAAUUUAGUUUUCUCGUCCUUCUUUGAAUCUUUUUCCAACAUCUUUAGAAUCUUUUUUAACUUUCCUAAUCCCCAAGAGCUUUCUUCCUCGCCUUCGAAUUUUCCAGGUACUGAUCCAAUAAAUAUUGCUCUGAUUGCUGAAAAGUCAUACAUUUUCAGUUUCUCAAUAAGCUCAUAUGUGUGCCUAUAAUUCUUCAAAUAGGCCAAGAAAUCUUGUUGAAAUUGUCGACCGAUUACACCCAAAUCAUCGCUACUCCUUGUAUCGGACUUAUGUUUAAAAUUCUCAAAAGCGGAAUCUACAUCAAUAAUAUCACAGUUUCGAUCAUCUUUGAUGUCAAGGCUUCCCUCAUGCUUCCUUAUCUUGGAUGGAUUACCGUAUUCAGGAACACUAGAAGUUGAAAGGGAAUCGUUCGCUUUAGGAUAUAGUAGAGGGGUUUUGAAGAUGGCUUGAGACAUGCCAAUCCAAUCUGGUUCAACUAAAUUGGCUGUGUGUAUUACAAUUUGGCAUGAAUCAUCUUUGAAAAAAUUCACCAUAAUCUUAGAAUGGUGCGUGCCCCACAUUGGAACGUAAACACUGUACAGUUUGACAUUAACAGGGCAAUGGUUCAUCUGGGCAGUUAGUCUUGCUAAACUAUCAGACUUGGAGUCAUAUCCAUGAGUAAUACGGACAUCGACAGUAGGGAAGACACUAGCAUGCAUGUUUUCCAACAAAAAAUUAAGGUCGACACAGAAAUUAAAUUGCCAAGUCUGCUUUAAUUGAGGGCUUCCAAUGAGCUGUUUUAAAAGAAGACAAUGAACGUUUUCGCUUUCCGGUAAUGCAGAAAUUUUAUUUAAGAAAAUAGGAGAGUCAAUUAUUUCAUUCGAUUU
Molecule: non-coding RNA, 1929 nt
Organism: Schizosaccharomyces pombe (fission yeast)
Lineage: Eukaryota; Fungi; Ascomycota; Schizosaccharomycetes; Schizosaccharomycetales; Schizosaccharomycetaceae
Source: the annotation of a GenBank genome assembly